RNAcentral lists this ribosomal RNA (332 nucleotides) under uncultured bacterium. RNAcentral's name for it is "bacterial SSU rRNA". It matches the Rfam family "Bacterial small subunit ribosomal RNA", at positions 30 to 375 of the family's 1533-position model. The record is from RNAcentral.
AUUGAACGCUGGCGGCAGGCCUAACACAUGCAAGUCGAGCGGGGUUUUCGGACCUAGCGGCGGACGGGUGAGUAAUGCGUAGGAAGCUACCCGAUAGAGGGGGAUACCAGUUGGAAACGACUGUUAAUACCGCAUAAUGUCUACGGACCAAAGUGUGGGACCUUCGGGCCACAUGCUAUCGGAUGCGCCUACGUGGGAUUAGCUAGUUGGUGAGGUAAUGGCUCACCAAGGCGACGAUCUCUAGCUGGUUUGAGAGGAUGAUCAGCCACACUGGAACUGAGACACGGUCCAGACUCUACGGGAGCAGCAGUGGGGGAAUAUUGGACAAUGGG